GGCCCAGACAGAAACCCAAAAUGCAAAUUUGGAGAAGAACUUUGGUUCCUGGGUCU
This 56-nucleotide transfer RNA is filed under the name Calotes emma. RNAcentral describes it as "tRNA-Cys". The record is from RNAcentral. Lineage: Eukaryota; Metazoa; Chordata; Lepidosauria; Squamata; Agamidae.